GCUCCGUUUUGAUAAUGUUUAUACAAUUUAUUUUAUUUUUAUCUUUUUCUAUGGUUGCCCCGUUUGGAGGCAGGGACACCUUUGUAAUUUGUAGCCAAUUGUUAUCGUUUAAACAGAUAUUUUGGGAAAUCUAUAUGAUUCCUUCCUUGAAUUAACACUGCAGCUGGAUUGCUCAUUGAUGUCCCUGGUCUUUAACCCCAUAAACCGUUAUAUAUGAUCAUGCACAUGACCAUUUUCACCUCGGCGGUUUUCUGUGUUUGUCGCUAGUUGUGGUUGCAUAUUUUGACUGGAUAUCGCUCCCUCCCCUGAAGAAGCGGAAGUCCGCGAAACAUGUAGGGUCUAUGCGAUUUCCUUUUCCAGUUGCAUCCAU
Molecule: long non-coding RNA, 370 nt
Organism: Rana temporaria (common frog)
Lineage: Eukaryota; Metazoa; Chordata; Amphibia; Anura; Ranidae
Exons: 3
Source: RefSeq, a predicted model, not a curated record